AAUGAAGUGCCUGAAAAAAGGAUUAUUUUGAUAGAAUAAAUCAUGUAGAAAAAUUACCUUCAUUA
This 65-nucleotide transfer RNA is filed under the name Elateroidea sp. 4 KM-2017. RNAcentral describes it as "tRNA-Ile". The record is from RNAcentral. Lineage: Eukaryota; Metazoa; Arthropoda; Insecta; Coleoptera.